This 420-nucleotide ribosomal RNA is filed under the name Microsporidia sp. RNAcentral's name for it is "partial small subunit ribosomal RNA". It matches the Rfam family "Microsporidia small subunit ribosomal RNA", at positions 133 to 556 of the family's 1311-position model. The record is from RNAcentral. Lineage: Eukaryota; Fungi; Microsporidia.
GGGUACUGGUGGGCUACCGAGCGGAGAAUAAGGCGCAACCCUAUCAGCUUGUUGGUAGUGUAAAGGACUACCAAGGCUAUGACGGGUAACGGGAAAUCACGGUGUUUGAUUCCGGAGAGGGAGCCUGAGAGAUGGCUCCCACGUUCCAGAGGAACGGCAGCAGGCGCGAAACUUGUCCACUCCUUACUGGGGAGACAGUCAUGAGACGUGAGUAUAAGACCUGAGUGUAAAGACCUUAGGGUGAAGCAAUUGGAGGGCAAGCUUUGGUGCCAGCAGCCGCGGUAACUCCAACUCCAAGAGUGUCUAUGGUGGAUGCUGCAGUUAAAGGGUCCGUAGUCGUGAAUGCAAUUAAAUGUCGUUGUUCAAUAGCGAUGAGUUUGCUAAUGUUUGCGGAACGGUGGGGGGGGGGGGGGUUUAGUA